Zootermopsis nevadensis is the source of this 70-nucleotide non-coding RNA. Lineage: Eukaryota; Metazoa; Arthropoda; Insecta; Blattodea; Termopsidae. The record is from Rfam.
ACCACGGUGGUUUAGCGGUUAGAACGCUGGCCUUGUAAUCCUGGGGUCUCGGGUUCGAUUCCCGGCGGUG